RNAcentral lists this ribosomal RNA (435 nucleotides) under uncultured bacterium. RNAcentral describes it as "partial 16S ribosomal RNA". It matches the Rfam family "Bacterial small subunit ribosomal RNA", at positions 29 to 507 of the family's 1533-position model. The record is from RNAcentral.
AACGAACGCUGGCGGCAGGCCUAACACAUGCAAGUCGAGCGGCCAUCUUCGGAUGUUAGCGGCGGACGGGUGGGUAGCGCGUGAGAACGUGCCCUUUGCUUCGAAUUUGCCUCUGGAAACUGGGAGUAAUACCGGAUGUACCCCUUGGACGAAAGAUUUAUUGGCAAAGGAACGGGGCGAGUUGGAUUAGGUAGUUGGUGGGGUGAUGGGCUACCAAGUCAACUAUACAUAGCUGGUUUGAGAGGAUGAUCAGCCACACUGGGACUGAGACACGGCCCAGAAUACUGCGCGAGGCAGCAGAGGGGAAUCUUAGACAACCGGGUAAACCAAGAUCUAGCCAUGCCGGGUGAGCGAUGAAGGCGUGAGAGUAGUAAAGCUCUUUAACCGCGGAAGAUAAUGACGGUACCCGGAGAAGAAGCACCGGCUAACUCCGUG